RNAcentral lists this small RNA (27 nucleotides) under Bombyx mori (domestic silkworm). RNAcentral describes it as "ovarian small RNA-22259". Lineage: Eukaryota; Metazoa; Arthropoda; Insecta; Lepidoptera; Bombycidae. The record is from RNAcentral.
UAGCAGAGUGAAAUACGAUGUAUAAGA